This 468-nucleotide ribosomal RNA is filed under the name uncultured bacterium. Its description in RNAcentral is "partial 16S ribosomal RNA". It matches the Rfam family "Bacterial small subunit ribosomal RNA", at positions 28 to 507 of the family's 1533-position model. The record is from RNAcentral.
GACGAACGCUGGCGGCGUGCUUAACACAUGCAAGUCGAACGGAAAGGCCCUGCUUUUGUGGGGUGCUCGAGUGGCGAACGGGUGAGUAACACGUGAGUAACCUGCCCUUGACUUUGGGAUAACUUCAGGAAACUGGGGCUAAUACCGGAUAGGAGCUCCUGCUGCAUGGUGGGGGUUGGAAAGUUUCGGCGGUUGGGGAUGGACUCGCGGCUUAUCAACUUGUUGGUGGGGUAGUGGCUUACCAAGGCUUUGACGGGUAGCCGGCCUGAGAGGGUGACCGGCCACAUUGGGACUGAGAUACGGCCCAGACUCCUACGGGAGGCAGCAGUGGGGAAUAUUGCACAAUGGGCGGAAGCCUGAUGCAGCAACGCCGCGUGCGGGAUGACGGCCUUCGGGUUGUAAACCGCUUUCGCCUGUGACGAAGCGUGGGUGACGGUAAUGGGUAAAGAAGCACCGGCUAACUACGUG